Molecule: ribosomal RNA, 478 nt
Filed under: uncultured bacterium
Lineage: Bacteria
Description: partial 16S ribosomal RNA
Rfam family: Bacterial small subunit ribosomal RNA
Source: RNAcentral
GACGAACGCUGGCGGCGUGCUUAACACAUGCAAGUCGAACGGUAAGGCCCUUCGGGGUACACGAGUGGCGAACGGGUGAGUAACACGUGGGUGAUCUGCCCUGCACUUCGGGAUAAGCCUGGGAAACUGGGUCUAAUACCGGAUAGGACCACUGCCUGCAUGGGUGGUGGUGGAAAGCUUUUGCGGUGUGGGAUGGGGCCGCGGCCCAUCAGCUUGUUGGUGGGGUGAUGGGCUACCAAGGCGACGACGGGUAGCCGGCCUGAGAAGGUGACCGGCCACCCUGGGACUGAGAUAUGGCCCAGACUCCUACGGGAGGCAGCAGGGGGGAAUAUUGCGCAGUGGGCGCAAGCCUGAUGCAGCGACGCCGCGUGAGGGAUGACGGCCUUCGGGUUGUAAACCUCUUUCAGCACCGACGAAGCGCAAGUGACGGUAGGUGCAGAAGAAGGACCGGCCAACUACGUGCCAGCAGCCGCCGUAA